This 253-nucleotide ribosomal RNA is filed under the name uncultured bacterium. RNAcentral's name for it is "partial 16S ribosomal RNA". It matches the Rfam family "Bacterial small subunit ribosomal RNA", at positions 524 to 776 of the family's 1533-position model. The record is from RNAcentral.
UACGGGGGAGGCAAGCGUUGUUCGGAAUUACUGGGCGUAAAGGGCUCGUAGGCGGCCAACUAAGUCAGACGUGAAAUCCCUCGGCUUAACCGGGGAACUGCGUCUGAUACUGGAUGGCUUGAGUUUGGGAGAGGGAUGCGGAAUUCCAGGUGUAGCGGUGAAAUGCGUAGAUAUCUGGAGGAACACCGGUGGCGAAGGCGACAUCCUGGACCAACACUGACGCUGAGGAGCGAAAGCCAGGGGAGCAAACGGG